AUUGAACGCUGGCGGCAUGCUUUACACAUGCAAGUCGAACGGUAACAGGCCUUCGGGUGCUGACGAGUGGCGAACGGGUGAGUAAUGCAUCGGAACGUACCCAGAGGUGGGGGAUAACGCAGCGAAAGCUGUGCUAAUACCGCAUGUGAUCUGAGGAUGAAAGCGGGGGACCGAGCAGCAAUGUUUGGCCUCGCGCCUUUGGAGCGGCCGAUGUCGGAUUAGCUAGUUGGUGGGGUAAAGGCCUACCUAGGCGACGAUCCGUAGCUGGUCUGAGAGGACGACCAGCCACACUGGGACUGAGACACGGCCCAGACUCCUACGGGAAGCAGCAGUGGGGAAUUUUGGACGAAGGGCGAAAGCCUGAUCCAGCAAUGCCGCGUGAGGGAAGAAGGCCUUCGGGUUGUAAACCGCUUUUGGCAGGAGCGAAACGGUGUCCGCUAAUACCGGGCGCUAAUGACGGUACCUGCAGAAUAAGCACCGGCUAACUACGUG
This 492-nucleotide ribosomal RNA is filed under the name uncultured bacterium. Its description in RNAcentral is "partial 16S ribosomal RNA". It matches the Rfam family "Bacterial small subunit ribosomal RNA", at positions 29 to 507 of the family's 1533-position model. The record is from RNAcentral.